Varroa destructor (honeybee mite) is the source of this 1446-nucleotide RNA transcript. RefSeq lists it as uncharacterized. The record is from RefSeq and is a predicted model, not a curated record. NCBI's taxonomy places the organism in Eukaryota, Metazoa, Arthropoda, Arachnida, Mesostigmata, Varroidae.
CCUAAACGGCAUUAGGCACUUUUCAAAUAUAUUUAUGAAUAACUAUGAAUCUAUUGAUAAACUAAAAAUCUAUACUUAGCCGUCCCCCUAUGAAUUGAAGUGACAAUGAUUUGUGGAUAUUUCUUCUAAGAAAUACAGUCAUUACAUUCAAAGCAUAUCCAAAAUGUCUAAUAUUAUCACCACUCUGUUCGGCAAAAACGAAGCUUAUUUUUCCUCGCUGCGAUGUGGCCUGAUAAAAGCAAUGUAUCGGGUUGGUGUCCUGAUCGAGGUCGCGUUCCAUCUUUAUGCAAUGAUACGAGAAUGCCGAAAGGCCGUCUUUAUUCUUGGCUGGAUUCCGCCAUUUGACAUUUUUGAUCAUACUGCGCUUCUGAUCUAUUGCUUAGCCUGCGUCACGCUGCACGGAACCUGGGCAGGUCUGGUUAUGGGUGCCCACUUAAACAUUGUGCCUCCCAGUGCUACGGUACUAGCAAAUGAUGCUGACCGCCAUUAUCACGCCCUGUUGUGCGUCGCGCACUUCAUCGGUGCUGGAUUCUACCUAAGCAAAGCUGUGUGGAACCAUUGGCGUGCAUACUGACGGAUUCCUCGUGGUGAUGCAUUGUAGGUAAGCCAUGGACGCUCCAGCCCGUCAUAGUCCCGCUGUUUCUCGGCCUUUUGCAUCGAAGUCUUCUUUGCAUCUGGCAGUUAAAUGAUGAUAACGAGAGGAGACACAGCUUCGCGCGCAGGUCGAUUCAGCGUCAUUCCGUGAGAACCUCAUGUUCAGAGGCAGUUGCCCCCGCCGCUUCAGAGUACAGGCUGGUGCGUGGAGCUCCGCAUUACCAUGGGCCUAUAAUCCAUGAUCAUCACGAUGCAAUGGUUCGCCAGUCUCGCACGAGAAGUUGUCACUCGUGCUGCUCCGCGUCGCGUAACUCGGUUCAUCAUGCCAGUUGCCCAAAGGUCCAGUUGCCGGCCGGGCUACCAGAUAGCAUAACUGCCCCUUUACCUGGCAGUUCAACGUGACGGUGUGGAGCUGUCAUCAUUGCUAUCACAAUCAUUGUUAGGUUAGAGUUCUAAUAUCUGAACGUUUUGAUCAUUAUAUUCAAACAAUAAUCUGUUUGCGUUUGCAGAGAUGAGAGUGCGUUUGGCUGUUCCCUAUUGCAAAUCCACUACUGAUUAGAUAGCUGGCAACUGUGCACUUAAUGUAAGCGCCAUUUAGCGAGAGACGUGAUACGUCGCUUAAAGAAAGGGAGACAAACAGCAAUCGAAAGUGGCAAGCAGACGAAAACAGAAGCAAAACAAGGCUAGUGUAGCAGCGCUCCAAUAACGACUGUACGUAUUUAUUCCGUAAAGGAAGCCAGUAAAUUGCUACAAAAUCGACAUGUCGUAAUAACGUGGGCUUUGCGGCGGGGAGUGUUUUAAGUUUCAUGGCAUCAGAAUAGCAUCAGAAUAAAGUAAUUUCCUUUCGAUUUA